Molecule: ribosomal RNA, 195 nt
Filed under: Clostridium tetani
Lineage: Bacteria; Bacillati; Bacillota; Clostridia; Eubacteriales; Clostridiaceae
Description: partial 16S ribosomal RNA
Rfam family: Bacterial small subunit ribosomal RNA
Source: RNAcentral
CCUACGGGAGGCAGCAGUAGGGAAUCCUACGGGAGGCAGCAGUGGGGAAUAUUGCGCAAUGGGGGAAACCCUGACGCAGCAACGCCGCGUGGGUGAUGAAGGUUUUCGGAUCGUAAAGCCCUGUUUUCUGGGACGAUAAUGACGGUACCUUAUGAGGAAGCCACGGCUAACUACGUGCCAGCAGCCGCGGUAAUA